CGUUAAAACACUCAUAACCCAAUCAUUUCACCUCUAAACUUCUUUUCAUUGUCUCAUACUUGGGCUUCUGGGAAACACUUAAUAUCUAAACCGUAACACUUUUUUCUAUCAUGCUGGGGAUCAAACCUAGGGCCUUAUGCAUGCUAGGCAAGCACUCUACCACUGAGCUACAUCCCCAGCCCACUACACUGUUCUUAAACUGUUAAGAUUUUCAUAUAAUCCUCUGUAAGCAGAGUUGUCUCUGGGAAGCCAUCCCACCAGGAAUUCCAGCACUUCAAGAGACUAAGGCCAGCUCUAUUGCUUGACUACUUGUUACAACUCCAGAAUGUUCAUCAGAUAGCAUAUGUUAAAAUAGGCACAAUAAUUGGGUGUGGUGGCACACACCUAGAGUCCCAGUGACUUGGGAGGCCAAGACAGAAAGUUUGCAAGUUUAAGACCAGCCUGGGCAACUUACUGAGACCCUGUCUCAAAAUGAAAAGAUCUGGGGAUGUAGCUUAGUGGUAGAGCAGCCAGCCCUGGGUUCAAUCCCCACAAAAGAAAGAAAAAAAAAAAAAAGAGGAAAGCAAUUCACACUGAUUAUAAGCCUGAAUCAUGUAGGGCACUGAUGAGAUGAAUAAGAGUGCAUGCUCUCAAAGAUCUUUGGUCAGUAGGAAAAACAGUGAUGGUAGCAUCAUGUGGUCAGUGGUUCUAUAGAGAUUUGUGGUCUUGGAGAGGACAACAGAAGCAAUGAAUCCUCACCUAGAUUCAGCGUGUCAGGAAGCCUUUAGAGGAGUGUCUUUGGGUAAGCCCUGGAGGACAAGUAGGCACACCAGGAAGAACAGGAUUCCAGCUGUAAUCACGCACUGUGUGACUGAGCGCAGGCGAGGGCAAGCAGCAUAGGGACCAGAUCAAGGAAAGCCUUAGUCUAGGGACAAUUGAGGGGAUUUACUCAGUGGCAAGAGAGCCGGUUUGCAUUUUAGAAAGACCACAAGAAAGAGAUGUGUUGUUUCCUGAGGGGGGAAGAAGAGAGGAGAGGAGAGAAGGAAUUGCCAGGCAGGGUGCUGGAAGGAGGGUCCUGUGCUGUUAACUGUGGUGGUGAUAUCAGGUGCAGGAGGACAGAGUGGGUAGUAGGGGAGCCGGGAGCUGGGAAGGAGAGCCAGGGAUCUAGAUUAAAAGGAAACAAUUCUAUUAGUUGUCAAAAACAAGAGACCACAGUGAAGGGAAUAAGGAAAACUCAGGAGUCAAGUGUUAAAAAAAAAAAUGCUGAACGUGGACUUUGGAGUUGAUCAGCCCCUGCUCUGUGAUUUUCCAGUCUGCUUUGAUCUUGAACAGUUCACUUCACUUCUCUGGGCUUUAAUUUGUUCAUCUGGAUGCAAGGACUAAAUGAGAUGCGCGUGUGCACACAUAGACACAGACAUACACGUGCUAAGCAGGGUGCCUGGCACUUGGUAAGCCUCCACUCUAUGGGCAGAACAGGAUGCAAGGGUGAUGGAAUUCAGGAAGUAAGCCCUGAGCACCUAUGAAGAGGAGUGGUCAGCUGUUUUGAACUUGUAGUCUACAAGCUUCACCUUGCAGAACUUGCUCCUCCCUGCUGUCUACUCCGUAGUAGUCAAAGCCCAGCCACCAGCCCAGGAGGAAGGGCUCCAGCUAAUACUGAAUGCAGCCCCCAAGUGACUGGGAGUGCACAGGUACUCAUGCAUGGCUGGCAACACUUCUGAGCAGCUCUGCAGGCACCCUCAUCUUCAUGUGGGGUUGAGGGUGCCCCUCCAGGGAAAUUUAAUUAUGUUUGAGACUUCUUUUCCUGAAUAGGCUUAGAAAAUCAGCUCAUUUCUGGACAAAUCUUGUGAACAAGCAAAAAUUCUACUACAGAAGAUGAUUCAGCAUCAGGACUUAAAUGACCUGCCAGGAAAUGGUUAAUGCAUGCUCACUGAAGCCCAGGGAUUUAGAUGGUUGGCAGUGGAGUAAGGCUUCAGGCAAGACCUCCAAAGCUACAGCUGUACUUCCCCAGGCCUUCACUGGCUAGAGUAAUUAACCACCUUUCCAUCAUGGUGUCUCUUUAGUUUGAGAAAGGGGAUUAAAGUGAAUGAAAACCAAGAGCCGGAGAAAUCAGGGUAGUAGCAAGAGGGAACAGUAAAGAAACGGUUCAGUGAGCAGAAGAGGCGUGGAGGGGGUAAGAAAUGGCAGAGGCAGGGCAGAGAGUCCAGGCCAUGAGAGCAGAGAAGGAGUCAGCUUGGGCACAGGCAUUCUGGGGAGACAGAGGGCUAGAAGGAGUCCCCAGUUCAGAGGGAGGGUGAGGCAAGACUUGGCUCAACUGCAUUGGCACCUGCUCUAGUUUAUGGAAGUGCUGUCCAAAAUGGUAGCCACUUGGCACUUGAAAUGAGUCUAGUGUGGCUGGGAAAUGAAUGUGCAAUUUUAAUUUCAAUUAAAUUUAAAUACUCAUACUCUGCUUAUGGCAACUCUACUGGGUAGCACCAUCUAGAUGAGGAAGAAAGCACAGAGUCACAGCUAGGGAAGAGGUCUAGAGCAGCCCAGCUGGUGGAAAUAAAGUUUAUCCACAUAUUUAAUUUUAAAUGUUUUGGUUACAACAUUAAAAAAGGAGUAAGGGAUGCCAUGCACAGUGGAGCACACCUAUAUUCCCAGUGGCCCAGGAGGCCGAGACAGGA
Molecule: long non-coding RNA, 2642 nt
Filed under: Marmota monax (woodchuck)
Lineage: Eukaryota; Metazoa; Chordata; Mammalia; Rodentia; Sciuridae
Source: RNAcentral